Paramuricea clavata is the source of this 1604-nucleotide non-coding RNA. The record is from the annotation of a GenBank genome assembly. NCBI's taxonomy places the organism in Eukaryota, Metazoa, Cnidaria, Anthozoa, Malacalcyonacea, Plexauridae.
CUGGAAAUGGAUUGUGUGAAAAAAACAGUUUAGGAACUAUAUACCGUUGUUUUUGUUUGAAAGUGCGAGGGGUUAUUGCAUGCAUGUAUUUAUAGUUUAUAAGUGCGCCUCGCAGAAACGCACGACUGAGGGUGGCCAAUCUCCCUAAUUAAACAAAAGAAAUAGCACACUCAAUGAAAGCUUGAACGCACUUUUUAUUUAUUAGCCACAUGCAUCGUACACACUGAAAAUCAUUGGGAAUUUGGUGUAGAAAUCAGACAUAACAUAUUAUAAGAAAGGCGUAUGAUAGUUUAACAUCAGCGAUAACCUAUGACAAAUAUUUGACUGUGUGCGUCUACAUCUUCUUCUGUCCCAUCGUUGCGACGUUGUUUUAUUCGGCGUUUAUGUGCAAUACAUUUGCCCUUUUUAGAUUUGUCCGACUUCUCAGCGUCCGUCAGAGUCACCUUAACUUUCCCUAAAGAAGAGGUGAAAUUAAAUCAUAAAAUGGAAGUGAAAUUCGUGAAGCAUGCGCAACAUAUUUUUUCCAGGGUUGCAUGUAUAAUCUACGGGGGCGGGGGUUGCGGAGGGGAGGGGGGGUAUUGAGUACAAUUUAUUCUUUGCACUCUAUUAAUUAUGCCUACUUAUUACGCGUCCUCAACCGGUUAAUAUUACUUCAUUAUUCUUAUUCUUAUUUGGUUCAGUUGAACCCAGUGGACUCGAUGUAUUUAUGCUGGAACAAUAGCCUGCCAGAAAACGUUGAAGCCAAAAUUAAAUGCCUAUACACCAUCAAACACGAUUGUUUUCACAACGGUCCAAAUUAAUAAUAAGUUAACUAAAUUUAAAAACUUAUUAAGAGCGACUGUCUACAAAAAUCAAACAAAAUGAGAAAUAUGUGGCAAGGCUCAAAAUUUUAAAUUUGCUCUACUUUUGAAUAUAAGUUGACUAUGGUGAAGUGCGAAACGUUAUGUGGUUAGUUUUUAAAAAUACUCUUUUGUUUAUGAAAAAAGGCAAAAAAAUGUUUCAGCUGUGAGGACCGAUUUUCGCAAUCGAAAAAUGGCCGAAAUUGCGUAUGUUUACUUAAUCCUGGUAUCCAAACCCUAAAUCCAAAUAGUCUUAUUAUACUUUCUGUUAAAGCUACAUCACUCCCUCGUUUAUUAAUAGUGGUUUUACGAUAAUUGAACAACUGAACACAUUUGUGCACAAUAAAGAGCGACGGGUACUGAUUUUUAAUGUUUGUCAUUGCAUGUAAAAAGUGGCAGAUUUGUCCAUUUUCCAUCCUUUCAAUUCAGAAAUGUAUUAUUUAUUUUGGGCAAAUAAAUUCACACGCUUUGAGAAAGAGUUAACUUUGGUUCAUUAAAUAUGCAAAAUCACUGUUUGGCGAUUGCGUGACUAAACACCCCUUGCAAUAAACUCACUUAAAACAUCAUUGUUCUUCACCUUUAGUUUAGAGAAUUUGAAGAAAACAUAAAUAUAUAUACCUUGAAUGCAAAAAGUUCCUUUGAGCUGUUCCACUUUUGGAGUUAUUCCUAACUUAACUACAUAUUAAACUCAAAGUUCAAGGAGUCCAGCUAACAGAAAUCAGCUAACAAUUUACACAACUUCCAUUCGUAUUCCAUUUACAAUUG